RNAcentral lists this transfer RNA (72 nucleotides) under Ictidomys tridecemlineatus (thirteen-lined ground squirrel). RNAcentral's name for it is "Spermophilus tridecemlineatus (thirteen-lined ground squirrel) tRNA". It matches the Rfam family "tRNA". Rfam says of the family: Transfer RNA (tRNA) molecules are approximately 80 nucleotides in length. Their secondary structure includes four short double-helical elements and three loops (D, anti-codon, and T loops). Further hydrogen bonds mediate the characteristic L-shaped molecular structure. tRNAs have two regions of fundamental functional importance: the anti-codon, which is responsible for specific mRNA codon recognition, and the 3' end, to which the tRNAs corresponding amino acid is attached (by aminoacyl-tRNA synthetases). tRNAs cope with the degeneracy of the genetic code in two manners: having more than one tRNA (with a specific anti-codon) for a particular amino acid; and 'wobble' base-pairing, i.e. permitting non-standard base-pairing at the 3rd anti-codon position. The record is from Rfam by way of RNAcentral. Lineage: Eukaryota; Metazoa; Chordata; Mammalia; Rodentia; Sciuridae.
GGAGUUGUGACUCAGUGGUAGAGUGUUUGCCUAGCAGGCAUGAGGCACUGGGUUUGAUCCCCUGCCCCACCU